This 244-nucleotide unclassified non-coding RNA is filed under the name uncultured Ascomycota. RNAcentral's name for it is "sequence contains ITS2". The record is from RNAcentral. Lineage: Eukaryota; Fungi; Ascomycota.
AACGCACAUUGCGCCCCAUGGUAUUCCAUUGGGCACACCCGUUCGAGCGUCAUUGCAACACUCAGGCACCGCCUGGUAUUGGGCGCCGCCCGCCGAGGGCGCGCCUUAAACUCCUCGGCGUCGCCGUCCGUCCUCGAGCGCAGCGAGAACUCUUCCAGCGCUACCGAGGCGGGCCGUGGCCGCCGCAACGCACAAUUCUUUCAAUGUUGACCUCGGAUCGGGUGGGGAUACCCGCUGAACUUAA